CACUAACUACAUAUUCCAGAUUCCAGGUUUACACUUGACUUUGAGCUUUCAGCAAGAUAAGAAGAAAAGAAAUAUAUCUUUGGUUGUUCCCCACCAUGGAUUCAAAAUAUCCAGAGAUAGUCAUCUCUCUAAAGUCAUUUCACAUCUGUUACUUCAUCUUCAGGAGUCACCCUGUUUUCAAAGGCCAAGACCCAACAAGCAAGCUGUUCCCUGAGCUUGACAUAACAGCAAUACUUUGUGCUCACCUUCUGGAUGAACUCAACUACAGCAAAAUCCUAGGAAUGUUUCAUACCAACACCAGGUGAUCUCUGAUCUUGGAAAAGUACAUGCAGUACCCAUGCCCUGGUCACGAAGCACUCCCAUGAAUCAAAUUUGCCUCAUCGUUGAUGCUCCCCCUCAUUGACAGGGCUACAGCUCACUGUGUAACUACUAGUGUAUGUAUUGAGAUGUGCCCACACUAAAGAUGAUCUACUAGAGGAGGCCCCAGCACAUGUAUCUAGUUUCCCUCCUUCAAUGGAAUAAAGGUUUUUUUUUGCUUGUGA
Long non-coding RNA from Trichosurus vulpecula (common brushtail), 542 nucleotides. RefSeq lists it as uncharacterized. Lineage: Eukaryota; Metazoa; Chordata; Mammalia; Diprotodontia; Phalangeridae. The record is from RefSeq and is a predicted model, not a curated record. The transcript has 3 exons.